UACGGUCAUAUAUCGUGUUGAUACACCGGUUCUCGUACGAUCACCGAAGUUAAACAACGUCGAGUCUGGUCAGUACCUAGAUGGGUGACCAUAUGGGAACACCAGGGGCUGUAAG
Acanthosepion pharaonis is the source of this 115-nucleotide non-coding RNA. NCBI's taxonomy places the organism in Eukaryota, Metazoa, Mollusca, Cephalopoda, Sepiida, Sepiidae. The record is from the annotation of a GenBank genome assembly.